UUUUUUUUUUUUUUAGUGUCAUGACAACACCAACCUAUUAAUUUAAGCUGCAGUUUUUAUUUAACAUUUUGUAUGUUGUAUAUAGGUGCGUGUAAGACACAUGAUUUCUGUAACUGAAGAAAACAUGUACCCUCAAUGGAGUAAUGCAGAGGAUGAUAAGGAUCCAGCACUAGACAACUUGAUAAAAGACACCAUCCAUAAUCGAUUGGCUUUAGAUGCUUGGAAAGGUGUGCCAGCUUUUGGUGUGUCUAAGAAGAAACGGAAAGUAAAAGCUACUGUUGAUGAAGAAGGUAGUAUCACACGGAAGGGGAAAAGAUCAAAAAGGCUGAAUUUUCUGGCGAAGAAAGAGUCAAAACUCUAAAAGAAGACGAGUAGAUAGUCUCAGAAGAUAUACAGGUUAUGUUUUCAUGCCUACUCCUGAUUCGUUGUGUUUUAUAGUAAUGUACUUAUUGUGCUUCAACUUUUUAAAAAAAAAAUCUGAAUAUCUUACUGAUUGUAGGUUGAUAAGGAUGACAAGAAAGGCUUCUCUGAUAUUUUAUUGAUGAUGGAAAAAAUGAAUGGGAGUAUUGUAGACAUGGGUAAGAAUCUGAGUAGUAGGAUUGAUGACUUGGAGAAUACCUUUGACUCACGGAUUGUAGCAGUCGAGACUGAUUUGAAGGAACUGAAACAAGCAAAACCAGCUUCAAUACCUACUGCCCAAGUCGCCAAUUCCAUCAACAAUGAAGAUGAAGGUGCAUCGAGUAAAUCUCCUGCAAGUUAUAGUUUGGUGAGUUUUAAAGUUGUUGAUCUUAUUAAGCAAAAUGGUGAAUGAAAAUACUGUUUUGAUAACGUUUAUUAUUUUUUGCAGUCUUGGAAAGUAGAGGAGAAGCCAUCUUCAGUGGAAGGUUUGCCUGUUCAAAGAGUGGUGAAGAAAACUUAUACUGUUCAGAAGAAAGUAAAGAAAGAAGGUGAAACAUCUGGAGAUCUUCUCUUAAUUGAAAAGAAAGAUGGUUCAAAGGCUGAGAGGAAAAAGUCUGAAAAGGCUCCGCUGAAAGAAGAAGCUACAGAGGCUGGCAAGAUAGGAGUCUCAAAGCCUCUGGUGAAAGCUGCAGUGAAAGAAAAAGCUGCUAAGAACCAGGGUUUGAAGGCUGUGGUGAAGAAAGAGGCUGUUAAGAAAGACGGUUCUAAGGCUGGUAAUAAGAUGAAGAAGAAAUCUACUACCCAAGAAGACGAUGUUGUAGAUAUCACUGACAAAGUUGAAGAAGAAGCUCUGAAAAUGGUUUCAAGUUCUGAAGACACAUACUCGGAUCCUGGACUGCAGAAAGCUAAUAAGGAACUUGAUGCAACAUUGACAGCAAUGGUAGAGAAGUUAAAGGAUCUAGAUGAGGGUGUUAAUGUGGGAAAAAGAGUGCCACAGUUGGCUGGUUCUCAAAAGUACCCGUUUCUUGGUAACUCUACAGUGAAGCGCAUCAUUACGGAUGGAGAACCUUCUUCCUCGAUACCUGAUCACAUGAUGCAUGUUUCUGACGAGAAAAUUCAUCAAUUGUAUGAUUUCCUAGAGACAGAUGACGAGUAAGACUUGACAAUUAAUUUAUCUUCAAAUAUCAUAAUGUAACUUUGUCAUUGUAAUCACUCUUAUGUUUUGAUUUUCAGGGAAGACUUUCUUAACACUACUAAUGGAGAUAUGACUCUGUUCAAAAAAAGAUUGUUAUUAGUGAAACAUAUAUACAUGUAGCAUCAAAUGUUUGAGGAGGAGUAAGUAAUACCUGUAGAAUUUUCUCUACCCCACGUGUUAGAGAUGUUGUCAUUUUUAAUGCAUCUUUCCUUCGAUCUGCAAACCAUCUAGUCAUCAUGGAUCUAAUGGUUUCUAACAGUUCAACAAUAGGAUAACUCCUAGCGUGUGACAUCACCUUAUUCAUUGAUUCUGCAAUGUUGCUUGUAAGCAAAUUGUACCUAUCACCAGGAAAAUAUACACGUGUCCAUAGUCGCACAUCAGCUCUCUCAAGGUAAUCAUGAAGAAGCGGAUUCAACGCUUCAAUCUGAUUAAAUAUUGUCUGAAAAUCGACUUGUCUGAAUGCAUUCGCCGCUUUCUUAACCAGACAAAAUGCUUCCCGGUCUUUAAAACGAACCAAUACAUUCUUGUAAAAAUGGUAUGUACAUAUUCCCCGGCUAGACUUUGGAUAAACCGCAGCGAUUGCUUUUCCUAUUGAUUUGUGCCUGUCCGAAAUAAUUGCAAGGCUCUCGUCAUCUGGAAUAACACACUUGAGUUGCUUGAAAACCAGUCCCAUGAUUCAUCAUUUUCUGUAUCAACCACGGCAAAAACUAUAGGAAAAAUCUGAAAAUUACCAUCUUGCGCAGUUGCCGUCAGAAGUGUCCCUUUGUAUUUCUCCUGUAAAAAUGUCCCGUCAACGACAACAACUUUCCUCAUGAAAGGAAAUCCAUUCAUGCUUGCUCCAAAGGCUAGAAACAAGUACUUAAAUUGAUUGGUCUCGUCAACAUCAAGGCACGUAUAAGUACCAGGAUUUGCCCUCCUUAGCAUGUACAAGUAAGUAUGUAGCUGCUCGUAACCACUCUCAGGACUACCCCUAACCAAUUCGCGAGCAUGCCUUAGCGUCCGAUAAGCUUUCCAAUAAUCCAUCUAUCCAAAACAAAAUAUUAUUUGUUUAGGUGAAUCAAAUUGAAUAUGUAAUAAAAAUUUAAAAAUAGCUACCACUAUUUUACCUUGAUCUGAAAGCGUUUAUUCAACGCUUCAGCAACAUGCAUUGGCAAUACUGUGGGCCCAACUCCACCAACAAAAUCCUUGUACAACGAAGCAAGAAUAUCAUGAGUUGCUUGUCGGGCACGUGAAGAACGCUCUGUCACUGAACAUGUAUGUUGUGAAAUAAACACACGGACGUGAAACUUUGGGUAAUCCUUUGAUGUUGUAGCUCUCACCCUCCACGUACAGCCUUUUACCCAGCACUUGACAAUCAGCAAAAAUGGUGUCGACUUAUCAACAUAAAAAUCAAACUUUUGUACCACAGUUAGUAUCUUCAAUCGCGUCUCCAAAUGUUCUUUCGUUUCAUAAGAUUGACCAAUAGCCAAAUUGACACAAGACAAGUCUAAUUUCAAGAAAUUAGCAUCUUCCUUUUGUUCUUCAAUAAAAAUCUCUGAACUCCUUUUCUUCAAUGGUAACAAUUCGUUGGGUUUUUCUUCUUCUUCUGGAGGAAUCCCAUACAAGGUAAAAUUUUCAUCAUCGGAGUCUGUACCAUCAGAAUCGUCACAGUAAUCGAAUCUCGUUUCUUCAUCGUCAAUGUCUUCGUCUUCUUUACUAUCAACAUAUUGAUCACUCAAUGCCUUCUUAAAAUCGUCAUCUUCAUUGACGAAAUCGUUCAUGGUUCUUGCUCGUUUUUUGUAAUUUUGUUUUGAUUCAACCAAUACUUUCUUCUUCACUUCAACGCAAAGUCUAACUGUUUCCCUCUUCAGUUGACCCAAAAAAUUGUGUAAUUGUCGACAAUUACCAAUAAUAACCGGAGGUGUAUCACCAGGUAAGUUCUACAACAACACCUUCGAAAGCUUGUAGCUCAACACGACAUCAUAUUCUCUGUGAUCCAGCCUGUAAUCUUUAUACACCAUUUGAAUGCAAUCAGCAUAACUGGUUUGACGGUUACCUUCUACAAUACGACAACCCCUAUCAUUAUCAACAACAAAUAACCAUUGAUUUUUUUCAUAGAUCCAACUACCACAUACGACAAUCAUCUGAUCCAUAUCCAAUCCAUCGCCUUUGCUGUGUGACAUUGUUUUUCUCUAAACCCAGACACGAGAAGAAGAACCCAAAAUUGAGAGAAAAAACUAAAAAAAAAUACGUAAUUUGCUUAACCCCAAUAGGAAAAAUAUGAUGAAAUCGAAAGAAACCCCAAAAAGAUAAAACCUAACAGCUCCACGUUGGAGAAAAGAAAACAAUGGAGGCCACGCUUUUUCACAAAAACCCUAGAUGUCGACAUUUAAUGUUUUAUUGGUAAAUAUGGUAACUGGUCUAAUAAGUCUGUCAUUACAAUUAAAAAAAAAAAACUGUCACCACUAUAAAUAUUAUUAUAGGAAAAAAAUCUGCCAGAAAUUAAAAAAAAAAACUGUCAUGAAAGGGUUUCAUAAUUACAAAUAUGUCGCAACAUACAAACAUUAUAAGGUCAUUCUAGCAAUUCUUUCAUUAAUUUAACAAAUCUGCCAUCAAACGACAGAUUUGUGGUAAUAUAAUUUAAUCUGUCAUAACAUAAAACAAGUCUGUCAUAACACAAAAGAUUAUAUUUUGAAAACAAAUCUGUUGUAACACGACAGAUUUAUGGUAACAUUAUAAAAAUCUGUCAUAACAUAGAACAAAUCUGCUACCAUUAGAGGUCAAUCUAGUAAUUAAUUUUUAGUAAGCAAAUCUGUCACAACAUGACAGUUUUUUUCCGAAAAUAAUAAAUCUGCCGCUACUUACAAAUUGAAUCAGCCAGACAUUACAAUAAGUCUGUCACAAAUUGUUCAAGUCUGUCACAAAUUGUUCAAGUCUGUGAUUGAAUGGAAACAAAUCUGUCAAGGAAAACAAAUCUGCUAAAAUUUUGUAAGUCUGUCGUAACCAUAAUCAAAGAAAUCUGUUAAGUAGAUAACAGAUUUUUCUAAAAUUGCUGGAAUUUUUUAUGAAUGGUAUUUUUUUUUUUUUUUUUUACACAUGAGACAAGGGUAUUUUAGGUAUGAAAAUAACUCAUUUAACUCAAAUUAUUUGUGAGUCAAUCUAGUAAUUAAACUCAAAAUUUGGGUUAAUCUAGUAACUCUCUCAAAUAUUAAAGGUGGGAAUCGAAUCCUAUAUUUAAGGGAGGACGAUCAUGCUAUUGGACCGGCUUUAGCUAAGAACCCAUUAAAUCAUCUUUUGCUGGAAAUAAGUACACGUAGACUGAUUUUAGAUGGACAUUCAUGCAGAUCUCCAUUUACAUGGCAAUCGCCUUUGUUGUUUCUCUUCUUUUUUUUUCUUUUACUGAAAGAUUGAAUUAUAUUUCAUGAUUUCCAAGCAAACAUAUAAAAAAGGUAAACGGAUCAAAGACAAUUACUCUAGAUCAACUUCAUUGAGUACUACACUAGGCAGUACUACUUUCUUCUCCAAAAAGGUGUUUUAACCAUAAGAAUAAUCCGGUUGCUACGUACGAUUGGCAGCGAUUCUCUUUUGUAACAAUUCUGGCAAUCAGAUUUGGGCCUUUGUUGUUUCUCUAUGAAUAUUUAUUUUUAAAAAAAUCAUUAUUAAUAUUAAUUUAUUUUAAAAACAAUUCAAAACAACGUCAUUUUGAGUUUAUGGACUCGAACGAUCAAAAUGACGUAGUUAUGUUAAAAAUAAUUGAUACGUCACUGUCACCAAAUCGGCUCAAUCAAUGGUUGAUUAACUCAUACUUAUGUCAAUUUUAUUUUAGGCCCAAAUUAUAGAGUUUGGAUAGUUUUUAAAAAAUAAAUUACGCAUUAAAAUAAAAAAAAAACAACAUUAGAUUUUUGUUGAGGUAUAAAAACGUACGGUGCAAUUCGUUGACUUUAUUUCUGAUUAGUGAUAUCAUCAUCCAAAGAUUUAGAAAGACGAAAGAAAAUAAUAUAUAAUAAAUAAACAAAUAUCGAACGUUUGCAAAAAUAGCUUUUUCAUAAUUUUAAUAGUUUAACCCUUUCCAAUUUUCAAAAUCUAUUCCGCUUUCAGAAAAUAAUUCGAACUUGUCGACUUUAAUUGGACUAACAUGUUAUAUGUUAAAAGAUACGUCGAAGAAACUGAAAUUGGGUUGGGCUAAACUUUGAUAUUGGGAGAAUAAGACCGGUCCACAAGAGUUGUCUGGAUAAACUUCAAUAUCUAUUUGUGUGUUUGCAUUGGAUGCUUGUUUGGUAUGUUUACACACAAAAAGAAAAAGACUUCUAAAGGAGAAAGGAGACCAAACAAUAAUAAUGACAAUCAAAGCGUUAAAUGCACGAAGCAAUCAAAGACCGUGCGAGCAGACAAAUUACGCGUUCUUAAAGGAUCUCCUUUCGUUUCAUGUCUAUUGUCUCUUUUUGUUUUUUUCCUAUAUUUAUUACUUAAGGUUUGGAAUUUUAAGAAGAUACCUUGAAAUUUUAAGAUAUCCAAAUGUUAUGACCGUAAAAUAGUUAUUCGAAUUCACUAUACUCGUAGGUUUUCAGUUAUGGAUCUAUAAAAAUACCUAAAACUCUAUAAAAUUAAAAUUCUAUAUAAAGUUUUAAAUUUAUUUCAUAAAUACCUGAAAGAUAUCUAUCUGAAUCAUUGUAAAUCUUCAAAGAUAAAUGUACGCAUAUGAGAAAACACACACCAUCCCAUCAUAAUCGAAACCAAAGAAUAUCAUACCUACCAUUGACCCGCUCAUGUUUCUUGUUGUCUUAUGAAUUAUGAUAAUCAUUUUCUUUCGAAUGCCCAUCAAUCACUGGGAGGAAAACAAGAAUUCCCAUAAUUUCCGUCGUUGAAAUUUUUUAAGAGAUUUUAUGCUUUAAGUUUUUAACUUAAUUAUAUGAAUACGUUGAAACAUGACUUUCAACUUUAUAAUAUUUAACGAAAACAAAUCAUGAAAAUCGUAACCAAAUUUGAAACACGGACAAUUGCCAAUUUGCCGUGCAUUAAGUUAAGUUUUUCUUUCUAAUCUAACCAAUAGUUAAUGAUUAAAAAAAUAAGUUCUUUUAGAACAAAUAGUUAAUGAUUAAAAAAAUAGUCGAUUGUGUGUUACUUGUAUGUAUACAUUUACACUUACAUUAUGAUAUUGUUUUUUUUUUUAAUGUAAUGUUAAAUUAAAUUCAAAAAAAAAAUAUCGUUUUUACAACAUGUGCAACGUUUAAUUGAAAAGGAAUUUAAAAUAGGAACUAAAAAUGUUUAAUGAUUAGAUUUUUGAUGCAACCCAAGCUUGGAGGCCCUUAUCAUAGCGCCUACCCCCGCUUGCUCGGAUUGAACUGAGUUGAUUUCGGACUUGCUUAUCGAUCCAUUUGAUUAGACGAUCCGCUGGGUUCGGGGUCUCGCUAUGUCGUCUCCCGUUUCUCUCACGCCAUAUGGUAUACAUUGUUGCUUGGAAGAUAUAUCGAGCAAGGAAACUUUGUACUCGGUCUUGCCAAUGACCAGUGAUAUUGUAUGUGCAUGUUUUUUUAAAAAGUGGUUAAUAUAGAAAGGGUUAUUCAAUUUUUAAUAUAUUGUUGGGGACGAUAUUUUUGGAUUUACCAAACGAUUGCAAUUUUAGGGAGGAGUGUUCGUCGUGGAACGUCAUAUGUGUUAGAUUACGGGUGAGCGCAAGGAGAGUAACUCCGCUUCACUUGGUUUUUGGCUUCUAACCUUCUCCUUCGACUUUCGAUUCAGGAUGCACAUUCUCGAGGAAAAACUAUUUGUUCUCCGAAAACUUUUUGACACUUAAAGUAGAAAAAUGUAACGUGAUUAGACUGCAAGACGGAUAUAUAUGGAAAAAAAAAAAAGACAGAUCUAGUUUUGGACCCUGUUAAAAAGUGGUUCAUGUCCAAUUUGAUAUUUAGUGAGUUUGGUAAGUGAUUCAGUGAACGAAGAAGGGUUCCUGGAUGGGGGUUGGAGUACUCCAAUCGGAGAAUUUUGAUAAGGGACGGAUUGAAGAGAUGUUGCCAACAAUGUAAGGUCAAACAUUUAUUUAACAUGAGGCUUGUGUACACGACUAAAUGUUUUGAAUUUUUGAUAUAUAUAUUUAUCGUUUUUUCCAAACAUUUUUCGAUUUCUAGGAAGAUAAUGAGAGAGUAAUUAUAAGAAAAUACAUGAUUUUUAUCUUAUAUUCAGUUUUUGUGUUAGGUCAAUCUAGUCUUAGGACUUUAGAAGACUGGAUGCAAUGUGCGAUGUUACUGGCUUGUGUUGGUGUAGUCUUUUACUUGUGGUAGAUAUUGUAUCCGUCGAUGGAACGUUUUAUGCGUGUUUGAGGUAAAUGACUCUUCGUACAAAUGCACUUAGUCGGCUUUGUGUGAUGCGGACACUGGUUUGUUUGCCAUAAUUACUUAGGAAGGAUAGUGAGCCGCGUUUUAUUAGCUCCUUAUUAGGAUAUUAAGCCAUUGUAGCCUAGGUUUAGCGUUCAUCCGCAAAGCCAAUAUGUUUUAAAAAUUUUGGUUAGAAAUUCUACCGCAACGUGUCCACAUGUAGUUUGAGUGACAAUCGGAUAAUAUAUCAUCUCCCCACAACAAAUACUCCAAUUCCUUAUAUUUAAAAUCAAAUUCUAUAAAAAAAAAAAGGGAAAAAAAUGAUCAUUGAAUAUUGGUAGCUAGCUAGUGCCGAGUUGCCGAAAUAAAAUAUAAACGACAGGAUUGAAGAAAGAUUUGACUUGGUAGACUAAAGAAAAAAAAGACAAUUUUUUCGCUAAAGAUAGAUACUAAAAAGACAAUGCUUUUGUUUGUACCACUACAAGAAAAACGUUCAUUGAUAGCGCAAACCAUCUGCUAUCUUACGUUAUUGAUAGCGAAAUCACAAAUGCUGUGACAUCGGCAGCUAUGGUAGGUGUUUCCCCUACGAUAGCAUUAUUUUGAUAUGCUAUGAUAGUUUUAGAUACAAUAGCUUUAUUUAACUGCUGUUAUUUAUUUUGAUAUAGCAGAUGAAAUUUUUGUUAAAAAGUAACGACAAUUCAAAUUUUGUGCUAUAAUAGGUUCUUCUACGUUAGCAAUUUGUUCUUGCUGUUUAAUUUGUUUUCGUAGCUUCAUUUUUUGUGCUAUAAUAUCUGAUUUUCUACAAUGACAGUGAAGAAUUGCUAUACUUAAUUUAAUUAUGGCUUUUAAUUUUGCUAUUAUAUAUAUUUUCAGAGAGCUAUAUAUUUUGAUUCUAUACCUGUUUUGCAUAAUAUAAACAUGAAAACAUAAGUCUGAAUAUAAAUUGUAACAUAAGUCUGAUUCCAAUUCAAAAGUUAGAAAGUUAUACAGAAUCAUUCAACAUAACAAGUCUAAAUCCAAAAGACAUAACAAGUCUGAUUCCAAAGUACAUAACAGAAGCUGAUUAGUCUAGUCUUAAACUAAUUAAAACUACCUAAUCUGGACCAAAGUUUCUUCAUUCCCUGCAACAAUCAACAAAGUCUCAUAUCAGUAGCAGAUAUAAAAGCAAAACACAAGCAUCACAGUAAUUACAAAACUUACCCCAGUUUCUUCAUCUACUCAAUAGAUGACCAACUUAUCCAUUGGCCAUGCAAUAGAUGAACCAAGUGAAUCUCUCAUAUACUCGAUUUCAUCUGAUGGCCUCCAAACUGCUGCAUCAUCUAUCUUCACUACAUCUACCCAAACUCUAGCUGCAUUUGCCCCCAAGCGAACAUGGUGUACCUUUUGGUCUGGGUCGAUUGAAUGCACACGUCCUUCACCAACCACCCGCCUCUUUCCACUAAUAUCCAUUAACUUGCACUUCUGAUUAGCCUUGAUAACUUCAGCUCCAGUUUUACGCUGCCAUAUUACAAUAUAAACAGGUUUAAUUCAUGUAUAAUAAUAACCAGAAUCAGUAAGUAACAACAUCUGCUAAAUUUACCGGAGAUCUUCGUAGAGGGGAGGGUGAAGCUAACUGACUUUUCUUUACAGGAGGCUUUGAACAUGUUGCUGGAGACUUCUCAACAAGAGAUUUUGAAACUGUGGCUGCGGAUUUCGUUCCUUUUGUUGUGGCUGCGGAUUUUGAUAUCUCAAGAGAAGACUUAUAACCAGCUGCUGCAUUUAGUGGACCUGAUGAUGGUGCUGUUCCUCCUGAUGCUGCUGCCUUUUCUGUUGUUGUUUGAUGAGUUGAUGCAGAAGCCUGAUGAAGUGGAGACUUCUGACAUGUUGCAUCUGCAUGGUUUUCAAAGACAACUUUGUUGGCAGGCCAAGCUACAGAAGACUGUAAACAGUCCUCAAGGUACAUGACAUCAAUCGUUGGCCUCCAUAUAAAUGUCUCAGGUUGAAUCACUGCAUCCACAAAUAUUUUCACUGCUGCUGGUCCGAGAGGAAGCCCAUUAACUAAUGCAUUGGCAUCUUGUGUCUGCCAACGUCCUUCUGCAACAACAACAUCAUAUGAAGACAAAUCCAGUAGCUUGCACUUGUUCACAGAAUUAGGUCUUGAUCCCUGUCAAACACAUUCAACCAGUGUUAACAUAUACUUUCUAUGUAUGAGUAUGAGAAUGAGUGAUAAAGUUUACCAGGGUUGCAAUGUCUUCUGGUUGGAGCUCCUCUUCUAGAUUAACACACAAACUAGAUGGCCAGGCCACCAUAUGUCCAACAGCUUUCUCAAUGGUGCACAUGUUAAUCGCAGGUCUCCAAAGGAAUGCUUCUGGUACAAUAGCAGUGACAAUCAAGACUUUAACAUCCGUAGGGCCUAAGCGACUUUCAUUAACUAAUUCAUCAGGAUCAGAAGACAUAAUAAGCCCCUCAGCAACUUUUUCCUCAGAACCAGCCCAAUCAAUCAAGACACACUUUGGUUGUGAUCUUUUAUUCACACUCUAUAAAAGUAAUUAGAAGAAAAAUAUAUUAGAUUAUAAAGUAACAAAGAAAUCAAAAACAUUUGAUAUAAGUCACUUACUCUUGCAGCUGAGUUUUCACCAACCUCAGGUGAUUGUCUCUGUUACAUAAAAAACAAAGUCAAAUACUAUGAACUAUUUGAGCUUCUUUAUGUAUAAAUAGAUAAGCUUCACAAUGUAUAAAUAGAUAAGUUUCUAACCUGAUUCUUCAUUUUCAGAAUUACAUCUUCUAACUCAGUGACCUUCUGCUGGAGCUGAAUCUGAUUCUCUUGCAUUUGAGCCAUACACUUGUGCUUCACUUGGAAACAAGCUAACUUGGUCUUAUUCAUAUUUCUACCCAUUGCCCUCAUUCUACCAGGAUUGUCAGGCCCUAACAGUUGGCUAAGUGAAUCUUGUUGUGCUUCAUUUGUUGCAGUCGAUGGAUCAUCACUGUUAACAAUCUCAUUUGCCUUUUUCUGCAACUCAUAAGAUACAGAUUCAAUAGCAGAUUAAGAAUCAAAUGCCAAUAUGCACAUCAUUAGAAGCAAAAUUUUAAACUCACAAUCUUUUCAGCAGCAUUAGUGUUCACUGGUGUACCAUCUUUCUUGGUACGUGAUUUAACCCAAACCUUUAGCCUUGUCACUUCAGAUGGGUCUGCACUACCAGUUUUCUAAACCAAACAAAAAUCAUUACAUAUUAAUAAGUGUUUUAAAAAGAAGCUGAGCAAUAUAAACAACAUAACUGUCAUGUGAUUACCAUAUCUUCUGCUAGUCUAACCAUUCCCUUGCGACUACAAGUGUGAGGAAUUUGUUUGCGCCUUCUUUCCUUGUAGCUAUCGCUUACAACCUAACAGAUGAAUGUUAACUUGUAAUAUACUAUAUAGUACAUAAACUUAAUUAUCCUGAUUCCAGAUGCAUACCUUAAAUUCUUGGCUAGUUUUGAGCUUCACAAAUUUACGCCAAUCGGUUGGAGAAACAUUUUUAAGUCGCAGAUUCAUCCUCUGCUGGUUAGUCUUAGCUUCUCUGAUGUUUGUAACUUGCUUUGAUUUCCAGGACCUCCACAAACAUCCCAUCUGCUUAAGCACUGCAACCUUUUGGUACUCUUCAUCUAGUUCAAACCUAGCCUGCACUCAAUAGAAAAAAACAGUAAAUUUAAUUACAAUAUCUGAUAAAACGUAAUGCAAUACAAGAAAAAUUAGACAAAUGAUACCUGGACAGAUUUCCAGAGAAGUGUCUUGAUUUCUUCACCUAUUUUUGUCCAACGAUCAAUUGUGAUAGGAACAUGUUCUCGGACCAAUGCACCAACAUAUGAUGACAGCUUAACUGACCCUUUACCAAUAGGCUCUCCCAUGAUAUUGUACUCUACUCUAACUCUGGUAUUUGGAUCCUUGGCUAUGUCUUUCAUCCUAGUUGGUCCUCGCUGUCUCUUACUCUUAGGUUCAAUAGCAACCUCAUGACCCUCAGAAAAUUCUAUCUCUCCUUCUGGCUCUUCCACAUCAGGUUCUUUAUCACCCAUUUGGACUCUACUUGAACCUCAGCUGGUUCUUCAUGUUGUGGUUCUUUAUCACCCAUUUGGACUUCUACUUGAACCUCAGCUGGUUCUUCAUGUUGUGGUUCCAAAUGAUCUGGAUCUUCAGCUUGAACUUCAGCUGGUUCUUCUUGUUGUGGUUCCAUUGUACCCACAUACUCUACCUCCUCAUCCUUUUUUUUAGUGUUUCUUCCUCGCUUUUUCUUGCGCCCAGCCAUUUUAAAUCACCUAAUAAAAAUGAAAGAAGAAAGAGUUAGUAGAUUAAAGAGAACUAAAAGCAGACAUCAAAGCAAAACAAACAUAAUAACUAUCAAACACACAAUGGAAAAACAAUUAAAAAAAAAAAGCAGACAUCAGACUUGAGCUAAGGUAAAAAAUCAGACAUUUCACACAUAUAUCCCUUCACAAUCAGAUCUCUCAUUUUCAGCCUCAUCCAAGUCAACAUCAAUGUCAACACUUGUUGGCAAUGGCCCAAUGUCUGCAACUGCAUCUUGAAACUCUUUCUGACUGAAUCUUCUCGAAGGACCUCUCAUUGCAACAUACCAAGUUGAUGAGUCAUCUUCCCUUAGGUAAAACACUUGCUUUGCUUGAGAGGCUAGUAUGUAUGGAUCCCUUCAAAAGGAGACUUGACUAUGAUUCAGUUUUACAAGUGUAAAACCAUCCUCUUCCUUCACUCCAUUGCCCUUUACUGCCCAGUUGUAGCGNNNNNNNNNNNNNNNNNNNNNNNNNNNNNNNNNNNNNNNNNNNNNNNNNNNNNNNNNNNNNNNNNNNNNNNNNNNNNNNNNNNNNNNNNNNNNNNNNNNNNNNNNNNNNNNNNNNNNNNNNNNNNNNNNNNNNNNNNNNNNNNNNNNNNNNNNNNNNNNNNNNNNNNNNNNNNNNNNNNNNNNNNNNNNNNNNNNNNNNNNNNNNNNNNNNNACCUAGCGCAGCUACGUGGACCAUAUGCCAACCAUUUCAGUGUUUCUCCAUGUCUGUUUGAAUCAAGAUGUAUCUAACAAAAGUAAAUAGAAAAGGUCAGACACCUAUAUACAUAAACUGAAUUACAUUAGGUGUUUAUGUAAGAGAUAACUAGCCUGUUCUUUAAGCCAAGAGGCAAAAUUCUGAGUGUGCAUACUCCAUAACAGUGAUGCAUCACGUCUGCAUCUUCCAUUGGAGUCUUGUAGAUGCUGUAGGUGCUCACUGUUAAAAGAAAAAGUGAAAAAGAAAUAAUCAGACAUUUAUCCUAAAUAUAAUUAAUGAAUGAACUAGCAAAAUGUGGAACUUACUCUACAUAAGGCUCCACGACAGCCAUAUUCUGGAUGACAGCCAUGUGAGCUAUUUUUUUCUCCAUUUCAGUAAGAUUAAGUGAGAUGCCUGCAGAGAUUGGACGCCCCUCAAGUAUAGUGUUGUUUUCAUACUCAGUGUUUCUAUCUACACUUUCCUUAACAUUGGUUGUCUUCUUCAAAAAUUCACUACAAAACUGGAUGCAUUCUUCAGCUAGAUAACACUCAGCAAUACACCCUUCAGGUCUUGCAGUGUUCCUCACAAAAUCCUUCAGAACUUUCAUAUACCUUUCAAACGGGUACAUCCAUCUGAAAUGAACUGGUCCACCUAACCGAGCUUCUCUGCCUAAAUGUACUGUCAAGUGCACCAUGAUAUCAAAGAAACUUGGCGGGAAGAAUCUUUCAAACAAGCAAAGGGUUUCAACAAUCUCAGCUUCCAUUGCCAAAAGCUGCUCCAUAUCAAUUACUCGCUGACACAAGUGAUUGAAAAAUGUGCAUAAGCGCACAAUUGCUACCCUAGGACCUUUAGGUAACAACCCUCUAAGUGCAAUCGGAAGAAGCUGUUGCAUUAACACGUGAUAAUCGUGUGAUUUCAGACCUGUGACCUUACAGUCAUCUAAUGAGACGCCUCUUGAUAUGUUUGAACCAGUACCCAUCUGGGCCUUUGAAGUCAAAUAGCCGCUUACAGAAAAUCUUCUUCUCUGUCUUGGACAGAGACCAAAGUGCUGCGGGAAGAUAUGUUCUUUUUCCUUUGAUUUUAGGGUGNNNNNNNNNNNNNNNNNNNNNNNNNNNNNNNNNNNNNNNNNNNNNNNNNNNNNNNNNNNNNNNNNNNNNNNNNNNNNNNNNNNNNNNNNNNNNNNNNNNNNNNNNNNNGACUCUGGUAUUUGGAUCCUUGGCUAUGUCUUUCAUCCUAGUUGGUCCUCGCUGUCUCUUACUCUUAGGUUCAAUAGCAACCUCAUGACCCUCAGAAAAUUCUAUCUCUCCUUCUGGCUCUUCCACAUCAGGUUCUUUAUCACCCAUUUGGACUUCUACUUGAACCUCAGCUGGUUCUUCAUGUUGUGGUUCUUUAUCACCCAUUUGGACUUCUACUUGAACCUCAGCUGGUUCUUCAUGUUGUGGUUCCAAAUGAUCUGGAUCUUCAGCUUGAACUUCAGCUGGUUCUUCUUGUUGCUGGUUCUUCCAUCUUGAUAACUCCUCCUCAUCUACUGUUACCUCUUCCUCUUCAUCCUCCUCUGACUCACUAGAUAGAUCAUCACUAUCAGAACUUGAUCUAGUACAUUCAACACGUUUUCUCUUAUUUGCAUGUUGUUUCAAGUUCCCAAAGCUAUUUUUAAAGUUUUUCAGGUUUUGAUAAAUCUCCUGGCCACUUAAUAUUCUCCUCUUCCUCCCAUGUUCAGCUUUUCCAUCAAACCAUGACUUCUUCCCUCUAAAACUAUGUGUUGGGGGCAGACCCUUUCUAUGGCACAUAAAGACAUGUUUUCUGCUGAAUUUCAACCACAUGCUAUCUGUAUUUUUUCCACAUAAAGGACAACCCAUUUUACCCUUUACUUUGCAGCCAGCAAGAUUCCCAUACGCGGGAAAAUCACUAAUUGUCCAAAGCAGCAUUGCCUUAAGAGUAAAUGUUGACUUACUAAAAGCAUCAUAAGUCAACUCCCCAUUAUCCCACAGAUGGCAUAGAUCCUCUAUAAGUGGUUCCAAGUAGACGUCAAUACUAUUACCGGGCUGUUGUGGACCAGGAAUCAACAAUGUCAACAUGAUGUUCUCCUUCUUCAUGCAUAAGUCUGGAGGCAAAUUGUAGUUUACUAGCAAAACGGGCCAGCAACUAUACCUGGUAUUCUUCAUGUUGAAUGGAUUAAAUCCAUCUGUGGAAAGUCCAAGCCUCAAGUUCCUUUCCUCGGCUGCAAAUGAAGGGUAUUUGGCAUUCAUCUGAUCCCAUGUUACUGAAUCUACAGGGUGACGGAGUUUUCCAUCGCUGCUUUUGUUGCUAAAAUGCCACCUUAAAUCUUUAGCCAUUUCCUCAGACCUAAACAUUCUCUUAAGGCGUGGGAUUAUCGGAAAGUACCGUAAUACUUUCUGUGGGACACCUUUCUUUACUUCACCAGUGUGCAAGUUAGUCUUCCAUCUUGAAGCAUUGCAUUUAGGACAAUUAUCAAGCUUUUUGUACUUUUUUCUGAAUAGGCAGCAGUCAUUAACGCAAGCAUGAAUCUUUUGAUAACCCAUAUCAAAAGAUUUCAAAAACUUCUUCACCUCAUACAAUGAUGUGUGUAGCACACACCCCUCUGGUAACAUCUCCGGCAAUGUCUCUAGAAGAUCAUUGAAGCUCUUGUCAGACCAUCCAUUUUGUGUCUUAAGUCUAAACAAAGACACAAUAGCUGACAGCUUGCUAUGGUUCACACAACUUGGAUAUAAAGGAGUUUCAGCAUCUACAAGCUUUGCAAGAAACUCAUCUUCUUUCUUGUCAUCACCCUCUGCAAUCUCAGCCAAGUCAAGCUUUUCUGCAAACUCUUCAUCCAAAUACUCAGCAGCUUGAUAUAACUCAAAUACCUCGUCAUUCCAGUGACUUAGUUUGCUUUCACUUUCAGCCACUGCAUUCAAUUCUCCAUGAUGAUACCAGUCACACCGCAUCUUAUAAGCUUCAUCCAUUCCCCUUGUUACAAGAUGAUCAACAACUACACUACCUAGGUGACGAUCUAUAUUACGACAAUCAAUGCAAGGACAUAUAAUCAUAUCGACGUCUCCCAAAGCUGCAGCCACAGCCCGUACAAACUUUGUAGCCCCUCUCUCAUAAGCAGGAUCAGCUCUUCAUUGCAGAAUAAAAGGGGAAAAAAAGAAGAAGUAAAGUCUCUGAAACCCCUACUGAAACCUAACCUAUAUAAUUAAAGUCCUUACCUGCCAAGAUGCACCCAAUCCUUGUCCAACAUUAUAUGUUGAUACCGUAAUAUAAACCUUUAAUACCAUAAGCAAUUAACUCAAAAUAUAUUCAGACCAGUAAACAAAUAACUCAUACAUAUAUAAUAUUCAAUCAAAGCAAUCUCAAUAGUUCAAUAUCAGAUUAUAUAAGUACACUAACUCAGUUAUAGUAGCAUAUUUAAGACAAAUUAAACUUAAAACAAAAAGCAUGGUUAUCAAUCAAAAACCAUAUAAAAGAAACUAGAAACAUGGUACUAACCUGUCCUCAUAUAUAGUAACAUAACCAACAAGACAUCAACAGUAAUGUACUAGAUUAAGUGUUUUAAAUCUCAAUAAUUUAAUAUCAGACAAGAUAAGUGCAGUAACUCAACUUUAGUAGCAUAUUUAAAACAAAUAAAACUGAAAACAAGAAACACUGUAAUCAAUCAAACUCAUAUGCUAGAAACAAGAAAUACGGUACUAACCUGUCCUCAUAUAUAGUAGCAUACACAACAAGACAUUCACAGUAAUGUAUUAUAAUCAAAAAAACAUGGUAAACAAUCAAACUCAUGUAAGAGAAGAUGGUACUAACCUGUCUUAUGAUGAUAAGAGCAAAUGAUAAGCUUCAAAGUCCCAUUAUUUCACUCAGCAAAACUUGCAAAACAAAAUUAUAGAGUGGGUAUAAGGUUAUGCAAGAAAGUGAAUCACUGAAAGUUUGACUAAAAAAAAUAACUUAAUCGAUCUAACAAUAAAAACAAGAUUCAGACAACAAACAAGGUAGAAUACAAAAAAAAAUCUGAACUUUAAACCUGAUAAAUUUGCCAAUCAAACGAAAGAGAUAAACACAAUCUUAGUAAGAAACAAAACUGGAAAAAGGACAAAUACUAGACGCAAUUCACUGCUCAGUUCUGCAAUUCACUGGAAAAACGCAAUUCACUGCUCAGUUCUUGUUUCUUUUUCAAAGAACUAAAAAAUCAGAUACAAGUUAUGAUGUCAGAAGAAACACAAGUUAUGAUGUCUGAAGAAACACAAGUGAACAUGCCAGUUAUGAUGUUUGGUUUUGUUUAGGGUAAACACAAGUAAGGCGGAAUCCAACAUAGCAAAAACAGAUUAUUAAGGUAUUGAAUUAACAAUCAAGAGAAUAUAUAUGACAAUAUCAAAACACAAUUUCAUAGCAAGUUUAUACUCAAUUUCUAUCUGACAAUAACGAAAAGAAGAUCCGAAUUACAUAGCACAUAUCCAAGUUUUUAAAGAAAUUUCGUUCAAAUACGCCUAAAUCAAACCACAAAAACAAUAAUGUUAUGAAAUCGUUCUGAAAUCGCAAAUAACAGAGGCAUGCAAAACAAGAAUCGAUUAGACUGACCUAGAUUUGAGCUACCUAUAACAUCAGACUUGAGCUAGAUUUGAGCUACCUAGAACAUCAGACGUGAGCUAGAUUUGAAAGAAACAGACCUAGAAAAAAUCCGAAAAAGAAGAAAAAAUCAAUUGAAUAAAGGACAUGCCUUCGAUUUGAGCUCAAAUCCGACAGAUCUAAGGCGGAAUUAGUGCCGGCGUCAGGUUCAGUUUCACGGCGACCUUCAACGGCGGCGGCAGAGGGCUUAAUCGGCGAUUGGGAGAGUCAAUUCGUCGGUCAAAGAGAGUUAUGGCUGAUAGAGUUCUGUCUUAGGGUUUUCGAGAAAGAGGGAAAACGCGUCUUUUGGCUUAAGUGUUUUUUGGGAAUUCUGACUAAGUGUUUGGCGGAAUUAGAGAUUUUGGGUUCCCGCUCAUUGAAGUUCUAUCUUAGCGUUUAUGAAAUGCUAUCAUAUAACAAUCAUAAUUACAUAACAUCUUCAAUAGCAGUUUGGUAAACCGUGCUAUUACGGUAUGCUAUCAAUGAGGACUUUUUUUGUAGUGUACCUAAAAGCACUAAUCAAAAUCGAAAGGUGAUAAUGGAGGUGGAGAAGACAUCAUUCUCAUAUAAUCAUCUCCGCAUACUCAGCUUUUGCUAUUUAUAUUAUCCACCGUUUAAUUAAACCUCUUUAGACACACCCAUCAUCGUUUUUCAAUUUUUUUUUGUUCUCUCGGGAAUGAUCAUAUUUUAAAAGUAGAUUUUAACUAAUAAAAAAAACAUGUUAAAUUUAUUUAUAUACAAUAAAUAAUAAUAAUACAAAAUCAAACCAUAUUAGAUUUUAUUUUAGUAUAGCAUAUUUAAUAGCUCAACAAGUUUAAAUAGAUUUAUUUGACUAUUUCGAGGAUUAUGAUACUAAUUUAGUUAAUAUUUUAAUGGAUCACUAGCCUAUCUUUAAAGUUUUCUAUACGUCAAUACAUGUAUUUGCAACGAUUUAUUAAGGCAUAUGAAUGUGAAUGAAGUAAUGAAGAACGUGAUUAGGGUCCUACUUGAUUCAAGCAAUAAAACUAAUCGACAUCACACCAAGACGCAACCCCAACCCCAACCCCAACCCCAACCAACAAACUCUAAAUUUGUCUGAUUUAGAAUAAAUAUAUCGUUACUAUAGAGGAACGAGUGUGACUUUAAUAGUAAGACUUGUUCAAAAUAUUAAAUUUAUAAAUCAAUGAUUUACGAUCAUUAAGAAGAGAUUUAUGACUUUAACAUUGUGUUGGAUUUUAACAAACAAAAAAAAGAAGUUAUAUUCAAUAUUAUAGAGUAAUUUGAAGUUGGAUAUUUUGUUUUUUUUUUUUUGAGAAAAGAAGUUGAUUUUGUAACAAAAAAAAUAGUUACUUUUUACUGGUGGGUCCAAAAGAAUUGAGUAAAAAAAUUUGUUUGCUUUGUGUUGUAUUAUAGUGAACAUGUUGGCUUUGAUUGGUGAACAAAAAUAAAGUAUUACUUCAGUUUGUCCAAAAAAAAAAAAUAAUAAAAUAAAGUAUUACAAGUGGUACAACUUUUAUUUUUACCGACUACAAAAGUUUUAUCAAAAGCGUUACUAAAAGUUUUACUCUCAACUUUCUCGUACAAUUCUGUCAUAUAAUUUGCACUAUUCCGGUAAAGUUUAUAGCUCCAGCUAACAGCUAAAAAACUUGUACAGUUUUUGGUUACCAAUCAGACCCGUUAAGCGGUAUGACUAGCAAUAAAUUUAUUAUUGUUGACCAAAAAUAUUUUCUUUUUAAUAAUUAAAAUUUUGUAUUUGACACUUUUGGUAAGUUAAUAAGAGUGAUAUGACUAGCAAUAAAUUUAUUAGUUGUUGACUCAAAUUGGUAUAUAAUGUAUAAUGAGAAAUUAUCAAUGAGAAAUAUAAGUAAAUUUUAACAAUGGGUAUACAUGGAGUAGUAAAUAAGUAUGCGAAAUAUUUACCUUUUUGGAAAGCCGGUACGUGAAGAUCCUCUACAGCUCGACUCCCAGUAUAACGCUUCGGAGAAUCGUGUCUCUCAGCCAUUUCUUGAACUUUCUGAUUGGCAAUUAAGCAUUCAAAGUUGGUAAAGCAUUUAAUGCAUAUCUACAAAGUGGUGUCAGCAUCACAUCAUUCGACUCACACUCUCCUAACCACAUAGAACAGAUGAAUUGAUAGUUAAUUAGUUAUGCAUCCUUGAAAUCCACAAACAUCAUACUAGGUUUGAUAUCUUUUGACCAAAUUCUGAACCGCACCACCACAUGUCCACAUCUUCUCUUGUAAAAUCAGCUCUGCUUUCAAUCAUAUUGUUUCCUUCUUGUUUGAGAGUUAAGGAGUAUUCAGAAGGACAACAUUUUUGUCCUCCCGAAAGUCAUUUUGAUUGUUCAUUUGGUUUAGAAGAGCGAUGAGAGGGCUGAAUCCGAGGUAAAGAGUCUCUCGACUUGACUAACAAACAAUCUAACUUGGUCCACGCUCAAGUGGUCGAAUCACCUAACAUACGCUCAACAGCAUGCAAUACAACACAAGCAAUGUCCCCCAUAACAAAAAUUUUGACCCUAUGAUGGAAACCAAAAAUUUGUCCCAAACAUAUGCCAUAAACAAAUGUAAAAUGUUAAAGUAGAACCUAGUGUUUGGAAAGGGACUCUAUUCUUUCUUCUACCCCAAAGACAAAAUAAAAAGAUAUGUAAUAGAAAUGAUGACAAGAGAGACAAAGCAAACCAAAAGAAAGGUUUUAAAAUGUAAUAAAUUUCCAAAAUCAACGCUCCUUUUUGUUCCCACUUUAACUUUUCCCACUCUCAAAUCAUUUUACCUUUGGAUUUAAGCCUCAUGACACUUUUUCUUUUCCUCAUACUUUUUACACCAUUCUCUAUUUUGUUGCUACUCAUCUCUUAUCAAAACAUAUUUAACUUGUCGACUUCACCUUCACUAGCUAGUAGCUACCAUUGUUUAACUUUUAAUUUUUAAUUCGUAUUUUCUGCUCCAACUUUGUAGAGAAUCUGUUGUUAUCUCAAAGAAAAGAAGUGGCUAAAUUCACGUUUGACAAUGUUGCUUGAAAAAGGUUUGAUCUUGAAAUUUCAAAAGAGGGAAAAAAGUAAAGGAGAAAAAUUUGGAGAGACACAAGAAGUGAGUCAAGGGACCCAACAACAAAGACAAAGACAAAAACUUUGGAUUUUGCCAAAUACUAUGAUUAAUGCUCAUUCAACACUCCCAUUACCAUUUCCAUCAUCAUCAUUUCUCUCUCUCUGGUUUUGGAAAUUGCCUGAGAAAAAAAACUAACCAUAACCAUCUUCUUCUUCUUCUUUCUCUUGUUCUUGAAUCUUGAACAUAAUUCUAUUUCAUGGAAAAGCAUCAUCAUCAGCAUCUUUUGUUACAGCAUCAUCAACAUCUCCACCAUCACCAGAAGCUCUCUCUUGCCAAAUCUUCUAGACAAAGCUGUAGUGAAUGGUAUGUUCUGUUCCCUUUGUUCUCUUGAUGAGUUCUGUGAUCAAGAAACCAGUGUCUUUAUAUAACUCUGUCUCAAUCUUGCUAAUGAUGUUCUUUCUUGCAACUGUUUAGGAUCUUUCGAGACGUUCCAAGUGAUAUAACCAUAGAAGUUAAUGGAGGAAACUUUGCUCUGCAUAAGGUAUAUUCAUACUUAUAACACAACCAUCACUUCUUUCUCAUGUAAACCAUUACUGAAUAUGUUUUGCUUCUCCAUUUCUCAGUUCCCUUUAGUCUCUAGAAGUGGAAGAAUCCGAAGAAUAGUUGCAGAACAUAGAGAUUCAGAUAUCUCCAAAGUAGAGCUUCUUAAUCUUCCAGGAGGAGCAGAAACAUUUGAAUUAGCAGCCAAAUUCUGCUAUGGGAUUAACUUUGAGAUCACUUCUUCAAACGUUGCACAGCUCUUUUGCAUCUCUGAUUACCUCGAGAUGACAGAAGAGUAUUCCAAAGACAACUUGGCUUCAAGAACAGAGGAGUAUCUUGAGAGCAUUGUGUGCAAGAAUCUUGAGAUGUGUGUUCAAGUCUUGAAACAAUCCGAGAAUCUUCUCCCUCUUGCAGAUGAACUCAAUAUCAUAGGUAGAUGUAUCGAUGCCAUUGCCUCGAAGGCUUGCGCUGAACAGAUUGCUUCGAGCUUCUCACGGUUAGAGUAUAGUAGCUCAGGGAGGCUUCAUAUGAGCAGGCAAGUGAAGAACAGUGGUGAUGGAGGAGAUUGGUGGAUCGAAGAUCUUUCGGUUCUUAGGAUUGAUUUGUAUCAGAGAGUUAUGAAUGCAAUGAAGUGUCGUGGUGUGCGUCCAGAGAGUAUAGGAGCUUCUUUGGUUAGUUACGCCGAGAGAGAGCUGACAAAGAGAUCUGAACAUGAACAAACCAUUGUUGAGACGAUUGUUACACUUUUGCCUGUCGAAAACCUCGUGGUUCCAAUCAGUUUUCUCUUCGGGUUACUGAGAAGAGCAGUGAUUCUUGAUACUUCAGUUUCCUGCAGGCUUGAUCUAGAGAGAAGGAUCGGUUCUCAGCUCGAUAUGGCGACUCUAGAUGAUCUCUUGAUCCCGUCUUUUCGUCAUGCAGGAGACACUUUGUUCGACAUUGACACGGUUCAUAGAAUCUUGGUGAAUUUCUCACAGCAAGGAGGAGAUGAUAGUGAGGAUGAAGAGUCUGUGUUUGAAUGCGAUAGUCCACAUUCGCCUUCACAAACUGCCAUGUUUAAAGUGGCAAAGCUUGUAGACAGUUAUCUUGCUGAGAUUGCUCCUGAUGCUAACCUUGACCUUUCUAAGUUCUUGCUUAUCGCAGAAGCCUUACCGCCUCAUGCUCGUACCCUUCACGAUGGUUUAUACCGUGCCACUGAUCUCUACCUUAAAGUAAGUUUCUACACGACAACUUUUUACUUUCUCUUGUUGUGUUGAUACUUAAACUUAGGCUUUAUGCUCUCAGGCACAUCAAGGGUUAUCAGAUUCAGACAAGAAGAAGCUGUCAAAACUUAUUGACUUCCAGAAACUCUCACAAGAAGCUGGAGCACACGCUGCCCAAAACGAGCGGCUUCCUCUGCAAUCCAUAGUUCAAGUUCUCUACUUUGAGCAACUGAAGCUUCGAAGCUCCUUGUGCUCUUCUUACUCGGACGAAGAGCCAAAGCCAAAGCAACAGCAACAACAGUCAUGGAGAAUCAAUAGCGGAGCUCUCAGCGCAGCAAUGUCGCCCAAAGACAACUACGCGUCUCUAAGGAGAGAAAACCGGGAACUGAAGCUCGAGUUAGCUAGGUUGAGAAUGAGACUCAACGACCUAGAGAAAGAACAUAUCUGUAUGAAGAGAGAUAUGCAGAGAUCUCAUUCGCGCAAAUUCAUGAGCAGUUUCUCAAAGAAAAUGGGGAAGCUUAGCUUCUUUGGGCAUAGCUCUUCAAGAGGAUCAAGCUCUCCAUCAAAGCAGUCUUUCAGAACAGAUUCAAAGGUGAUGGAAAGAACUUGCGCAAGCACAGAUUAGCUCAGGUUAUAUCAUUCUCUCUUACCUGUUGCGGCUUUUUAAGCGAGUGCAAAGACAAGACUUGAGAUUAGUGUGUGAGUGAGUGAUAUUUUCAACUAUCGAGUUCGACUUUGUAAAUGGAUUUGAUUUAUAUAAGACAACAAAAGGUAGAUGACUUAAAAUCAAAGGUCUCUCAGUUGAUUGCAAUAGAGAAUAUAAUGAUGUCUUACAAGACAAACAGAGGUAGAGACAGAGUUUUACCACGUCGUAUACAAGCAAUUCACUUAGGCCACAAUUCAAUCCUCAAGAAGAAGGAGUCUUGGUCUUAGUGUAAUACCGGAUGCCGAAAGCCAACCCUAAGAUUAGAAGAGGAACAAGGAACUGAAGGAGCUUAAUGACAAAUUCCGAGCUCUUAUCCUGAUUAGCCUUGACUGUCUUCGAAGUAGGAGGCACAAACUUAGCUUUAACUGGGACAGUAGCUGUGUCAAUAUCACCCACAUAGUACUCAUCUAGCAUGGCUUUCGCAGUCGAACUAUGUCCCACAUCCUCGAAAUCAUCGGUCGCAUCUUUC
Molecule: long non-coding RNA, 23393 nt
Filed under: Arabidopsis lyrata
Lineage: Eukaryota; Viridiplantae; Streptophyta; Magnoliopsida; Brassicales; Brassicaceae
Description: long non-coding RNA (ALYR_LNC000557)
Source: RNAcentral